UUUCACCUCCCCUACCCCAUGUCUGCUUUCCCCCGUUUCUCCUCAUCCCAUUUGGACUUCACAGAAACUAGACUGGUUUCCAACAUAAUAAAAAAGAGUAGCCGAUGCCUGAAGUCAUACCAAGAUGAGACGAUUGCCACUGCAAGAUUGGAACAUCAUGUGCAGGAUGACUGGCUCCAGGUUCUCCACCCCAUUGUUGACUUUGGCAUCAGGGCCUUUAGAGGAGAGCUGCCAUGGUUGCAUUCUUCAGAGCAGCAAAGAGAGACAGUACUUUUGCCAAUUUCUUUGAGCUCCAAGGGAAAGAAACAGAAACAAGUAACCUGCCACUCUUGUGCCUUAUACUAAACCUUAGAAGGACACUGUAAGGCUGAAAACUGUGGAGGUGGGAACUCUUCUCCUCGCUGGACUACCAGACACAGCCAGCUAAGGUUUGCUACAUUUUUUUUCCAUUCAUUUACAACGGCAUUUAAUAAAAAUUCAUUAAGUGCAGCA
Molecule: long non-coding RNA, 492 nt
Filed under: Oryctolagus cuniculus (rabbit)
Lineage: Eukaryota; Metazoa; Chordata; Mammalia; Lagomorpha; Leporidae
Description: lncRNA (ENSOCUG00000039511.1)
Source: RNAcentral